UAAAGAAAAAGUGUGAGAUUUCAAGGAAUCAAGCAAUCAAAGGUGGUGAGCCCUCUAACAAGGGUAGAGAGAUUGUGUACAAAGACCGAGAAUAACAGUAUAUCGAACUCCUAGUACUGAUCAGAGUAGGUUGUAGAUAUUUGGUUCCAUCGGGGAUUUCCAUUGGAUUGCGUCUUCCAAACUGUAGGUUCACAACUUCUUUAAUUCUAGUUAUUAUGGGCCCACUUGAUAUUGUAAAUUUAAUAGUUUAUUGUACUACAAUAUGAAUGAAUUUAUUUUGUUUUUAUGUUACAAAAAGUAUUCACGCAUAAUUCCAAAAUUUCUGUUUAUAAGAGAAUAAAAUAGUUUAUUGAAUAUUUUGUUUUA
This is a non-coding RNA of Theobroma cacao (cacao), 366 nucleotides long. The record is from RefSeq and is a predicted model, not a curated record. Lineage: Eukaryota; Viridiplantae; Streptophyta; Magnoliopsida; Malvales; Malvaceae.